UACAGAGGGGGCAAGCGUUAUUCGGAAUUAUUGGGCGUAAAGGGCGCGUAGGCGGCUUGGCAAGUGGAAGGUGAAAUCCCUCGGCUCAACCGAGGAACUGCCUUCUAAACUGCUUUGAUUGAGUCCGGGAGAGGUCAGUGGAAUUCCCAGUAUAGCGGUGAAAUGCGUAGAUAUUGGGAGGAACACCAGUGGCGAAGGCGGCUGACUGGACCGGUACUGACGCUGAGGCGCGAAAGCGUGGGGAGCAAACGGG
Molecule: ribosomal RNA, 253 nt
Filed under: uncultured bacterium
Lineage: Bacteria
Description: partial 16S ribosomal RNA
Rfam family: Bacterial small subunit ribosomal RNA
Source: RNAcentral